This 484-nucleotide ribosomal RNA is filed under the name uncultured bacterium. Its description in RNAcentral is "partial 16S ribosomal RNA". It matches the Rfam family "Bacterial small subunit ribosomal RNA", at positions 30 to 507 of the family's 1533-position model. The record is from RNAcentral.
AUUGAACGCUGGCGGCAGGCCUAACACAUGCAAGUCGAGCGGAUGAAGGGAGCUUGCUCCUGGAUUCAGCGGCGGACGGGUGAGUAAUGCCUAGGAAUCUGCCUGGUAGUGGGGGAUAACGUCCGGAAACGGGCGCUAAUACCGCAUACGUCCUGAGGGAGAAAGUGGGGGAUCUUCGGACCUCACGCUAUCAGAUGAGCCUAGGUCGGAUUAGCUAGUUGGUGGGGUAAGGGCCUACCAAGGCGACGAUCCGUAACUGGUCUGAGAGGAUGAUCAGUCACACUGGAACUGAGACACGGUCCAGACUCCUACGGGAGGCAGCAGUGGGGAAUAUUGGACAAUGGGCGAAAGCCUGAUCCAGCCAUGCCGCGUGUGUGAAGAAGGUCUUCGGAUUGUAAAGCACUUUAAGUUGGGAGGAAGGGCAGCAAGUUAAUACCUUGCUGUUUUGACGUUACCAACAGAAUAAGCACCGGCUAACUUCGUG